GGGAUUGAUUUCUCCACUAUGGCAAAAACAACUGCUCCCUCUACUCGUGCCCUUUCAAAUAUAACAUAUAUGGCCGGCGUGGAUUUGGAGAAUAAGAUAAAAUAACGUGAUCAUUAUAUGUUUUUAAUGAAGCCAUAAUCAUAUCCCAUUACAGAAUCUGUGUUUCCCAAGUCAUCUUUCCUACCUCAAGAAAACAUGUAUUACAAGAUGAGUAAGACGGAAAGCCACCCAAUAUGGAGUGCAUUAGGGUUACCCCCGCACCUGCCACAGUAUUAAAUGGAUACUGAACCAUACAUUUUCCUUUCAUCUGUCUAUGCCCUCAGCAAGACAGACAAAGUGUGCAAUUCAGGCUCGAAGGCUCGGAGAUCAGCAGAUGUACGUGGUUGCUCAAAAUCGAUGGAUACACCGGUUGUCCAAAAUUAGUGUAAUUCAAUUACUGUAGCCAUGAUUAGCUUCCCAGAGGGACAGCAUGGGGUGAGGCCAGGGUGAAGGAAGCUCAAACUUUCUUUUUUUUUCAUCAGUAGGGGUGGGGAGGGCUUAACAUGUAAAGAGAAUACGCUUCCUGAAGUUGGUUCUGCAUCUCACCAGCUCUAAGCAGGACCAGAGCCCAGAUAACCAUACUUGGGAACUAAAUUGUGAAAGGGAGGUCCAGGAAGGCUGUGACAAACACCCAGGCUUCAAAGUGCUGUCACCAGAAGCCAGCAUCGCUGUAAGGAGCAUACAGGAUGAUUUUUUUUAAACCCCCAAUAUUUCUUCCUUUCUAUAUACUUUUCACCAACCUGUAAUGCAAGUUUAAAGGAAAAAAAAUGGAAACCUCAAUUCCCCAAACUAAUAAAAAUUGUGUUUAGUACAUUCGGAUCUUAGUGGA
This 868-nucleotide long non-coding RNA is filed under the name Rattus norvegicus (Norway rat). Its description in RNAcentral is "long non-coding RNA NONRATT032836". Lineage: Eukaryota; Metazoa; Chordata; Mammalia; Rodentia; Muridae. The record is from RNAcentral.